UGCGUAGGUGGUGAGGUAAGUCGGAUGUGAAAGCUCGGAGCUCAACUCCGAAAUGGCAUUGGAAACUACCUUGCUCGAGGGUUGGAGGGGGGACUGGAAUACUUGGUGUAGCAGUGAAAUGCGUAGAUAUCAAGUGGAACACCAGUGGCGAAGGCGAGUCCCUGGACAACUCCUGACACUGAGGCACGAAAGGCUAGGGAGGUAAACA
This 208-nucleotide ribosomal RNA is filed under the name uncultured bacterium. RNAcentral's name for it is "partial 16S ribosomal RNA". It matches the Rfam family "Bacterial small subunit ribosomal RNA", at positions 568 to 774 of the family's 1533-position model. The record is from RNAcentral.